Molecule: long non-coding RNA, 610 nt
Filed under: Equus caballus (horse)
Lineage: Eukaryota; Metazoa; Chordata; Mammalia; Perissodactyla; Equidae
Description: lncRNA (ENSECAG00000058641.1)
Source: RNAcentral
CUCAGUAGCUUCUAAAUGCCAUCCAGCUGGGCUAUCUAGGAGUCAUUCUGGACUCUGAGUGUGGCGCUUGGGAGUCGUCCUUCCCUCCCCCUUUCAAGAAGGUGGCCGUGCUCUCUUGUACCUGUGGCUUGAGGGAUUCUUUUGGAACGGGGAGCCCCUGAGAGCAGAAGGUGCCUGAAACCAGUGGCUCAUCCAGUCUUUAAUGAAAGCCCAAGUCCAUUGAAGUGAUGGGUGAUGCUGAGUGUUGCAGGAGAGGUGCAGGUGGGUGAUGCCUGUGGAUACAAGAAGAGGGGCAAGAGGAGGAGAGUUCCUAGGGAAGGGCCUAGAUGCUGGGGGCCUGUGCAGGGCCCCGAGUGGUGGCACCCCCUUAGGGGGAUGGCUGCGUGUGCGCCAUGGAAGGCAGAACCCAUCUUCCAUGCCUCACCUGACCCAGAAGCAAGGAGCUCCAGACUCCAGGGGUCUUGGACUAUGACGAUGUCAUCCUUGACCAUGAGGAGUCAAAGGUUAGAGAAGUACUGACCUUUAGAAAUAUAAUGCAAGCCACAUAUGUAGUUUCAAGUUUUCUAGCUACUAGAAUCUAGUAGCUACGUUAAAAACCAUAAAAGGACAC